This 310-nucleotide ribosomal RNA is filed under the name uncultured bacterium. RNAcentral's name for it is "bacterial SSU rRNA". It matches the Rfam family "Bacterial small subunit ribosomal RNA", at positions 200 to 507 of the family's 1533-position model. The record is from RNAcentral.
GUUAAAGGUUUACCGCCUUGGGAUAGGCUUGCGUCUGAUUUAGCCUUAGUUGGUGUGGUAACGGGCACACCAAGGCUACGAUCAGUAACUGGUCUGAGAGGAUGAUCAGUCACACUGGAACUGAGACACGGUCCAGACUCCUACGGGAGGCAGCAGUGAGGAAUAUUGGGCAAUGCUCGAAAGAGUGACCCAGCAACGCCGCGUGGAGGAUGAAGGUAUUCUAUAUCGUAAACUCCUGUGAGAGCAGACGAAAGACAGAUUAUUAAUCUGGAUGACUGUAUGCUCAGAGGAAGCCCCGGCUAACUACGUG